GACGAACGCUGGCGGCGUGCUUAACACAUGCAAGUCGAGCGGUAAGGCCCUUUCGGGGGUACGCGAGCGGCGAACGGGUGAGUAACACGUGGGUGACCUGCCCUCAGCUCUGGGAUAAGCCUGGGAAACCGGGUCUAAUACCGGAUAUGACUCCAUGACGCAUGUUGUGGGGUGGAAAGCCUUGUGCGGCUGAGGAUGGGCCCGCGGCCUAUCAGCUUGUUGGUGGGGUGAUGGCCUACCAAGGCGACGACGGGUAGCCGGCCUGAGAGGGCGACCGGCCACACUGGGACUGAGACACGGCCCAGACUCCUACGGGAGGCAGCAGUGGGGAAUCUUGCGCAAUGGGCGAAAGCCUGACGCAGCGACGCCGCGUGAGGGAUGACGGCCU
Molecule: ribosomal RNA, 388 nt
Filed under: uncultured bacterium
Lineage: Bacteria
Description: bacterial SSU rRNA
Rfam family: Bacterial small subunit ribosomal RNA
Source: RNAcentral